Molecule: ribosomal RNA, 90 nt
Filed under: Nicotiana attenuata
Lineage: Eukaryota; Viridiplantae; Streptophyta; Magnoliopsida; Solanales; Solanaceae
Source: RNAcentral
GGAUGCGAUCAUACCAGCACAAACGUACCGGAUCCCAUCAGAACUCCGAACUUAAGCGUGCGGCCUAGUGUAACAGGCAUGUCGGGACCU